AAGUCGUAACAAGGUUUCCAUAGGUGAACCUGCGGAAGGAUCAUUAUUGAAUAAACCUGGCUUGGUUGUUGCUGGUCUUUUCGGAGACAUGUGCACGCCUUGUCAUCUUUAUAUUUCCACCUGUGCACCUUUUGUAGACUUGAAGACAGUUUUCCGAGGCAACUCGGUCGUGAGGAAAUGCUUUAAAUGGCUUUCCUUGAUUGUCUUCAAGCCUAUGUUUCAUAUACACCAUAAGAAUGUAACAGAAUGUCAUUAUUAGACUUAUGUCUUAUAAACUAUAUACAACUUUCAGCAACGGAUCUCUUGGCUCUC
RNAcentral lists this unclassified non-coding RNA (312 nucleotides) under Stropharia rugosoannulata. RNAcentral's name for it is "partial internal transcribed spacer region". The stretch from base 1 to 46 matches the Rfam family "Eukaryotic small subunit ribosomal RNA", at positions 1786 to 1831 of the family's 1831-position model. The record is from RNAcentral. Lineage: Eukaryota; Fungi; Basidiomycota; Agaricomycetes; Agaricales; Strophariaceae.